This is a non-coding RNA of Delphinapterus leucas (beluga whale), 3979 nucleotides long. Lineage: Eukaryota; Metazoa; Chordata; Mammalia; Artiodactyla; Monodontidae. The record is from RefSeq and is a predicted model, not a curated record.
CGGGGACGGGGUGGCCUUGCGGUGGCCUAGGGGUGGGGGGAGAAGGGUUGUUAUGCUUUAUCCAAGUGCUCCAGCACAGAUUAAUUUUAGCAAGAAACAGAGCGGCUUCUGUGCCUUUAGGUGACUUUCGUGACAUUUAGCAGCAAAGAAACCUGUUUCCUCUGCUAUUCAGAGCUAACCACGUGUAAUUGGCCCAGAAGUCUGUUGUAUUUUGGGUAACUGUUUGCGAUUUCCCAUCUGUUUUCAUCUCGCAGUUCAAACGAUACUGUUUACCCUUAUGUCGGGGAAAUUGGUUUACAUGCGCAGCAAUUUCAGUGCGACACCGAAAUGUUGAACCAACGCUACGAAUCGUACAGGCUUUGUACUGCUAAUAACCCUCCAUUACGACUGUCACGAGACAUUUACACAGCCUCUUGGUCCUGUAAAGGAAAACUCGUUUGCGUCUUUUUUCUCCGAACCGCGAUCCGGAGCUUCGGGCCCAGUUUCCCGAGUGACACAUCGUGAAACCGCAGGAAAGUGGUGCAAGCCCGGAACAGAUGGGUCUCUGACCCUGCGUGUUUCCCAGAUUGAGGAUGGAUGGAGGUGUAGACGGCUCAGGGCCAUCUAGCCCUUUCGUGAGCCGCAAAGAGAUGGUUCGGUGCUCCCAGGAGGGACAAGUCUCCUUUCUCAGGCUGUGUCGAGGAAAGGGAGCUCGUCAAUGCAGCGUGAAGCGCCUGCCCGCAGCGGUGUGGGUGGGGGGCGGUCUCGUUCUUUUGGCCCGUGGGCAGCCGCGGGACGGCUGCGUAACCGGCUCCGGAGACCGGGAGUGUGCGUUGGAGCCGCGCCCCGACUUUCCUGGGGCGGAGAAAUUGGAGAAAUUGCUCUGAAGUAGCGUCGGCUGCCCUGGCUGAGAGGCCCGUAAUCAGCCCCUGGCAUGUGUGCAAAUGCUGAUUUUGCGGGUGUUACUUAAUCCACGCCGGCGGUGAAAAGCCUCGGGUUGGUGGCACGCUCACCUCCCACCGCCAGGCUUCUUUCUCGGUCUGCUCUGGGGAGCAGACUCUGCGUCCAGGGUGGGGUGGGGUGACCGGUGAGGGUGUGAGUCUGAUGCUGGGGCUUCUUUGGCCCAAGGAUUGAGGAGUGAAAAAAGAAUGCGAAAAUGAAGCUGUUGACAGACGUCUGCCGCCUUAAUUCAGGCUGUUGUCCCAGUGUCCUGGUAGAAAUUAGCCAUUUCCUCUGUAUCCCAUGCUAACUUACUCUUUCAAGGGGAGGAGUAGUUGGCAGAGGAAAAAACCAUAAUGAUUUACACACAGUACAAAAUGUGACCAAGGCUAACUUGAGGAAGGUACAAGGAGAGGAAUAUUCAGUUGAUCAUUUAAACCUCAGUACCAGAAACAGUCAAAAAUAUCUGUGGAAGGCCAUAAGAUCAGUAAGGGGCUCCUCUACAAAGGAAGACCCAAAUUUAAGUCCUAGCAGUUAAAGUGACCUUUGGUAACUCCAGUAAGGUGGAGGCCUGCUCCUGGGCAAAUGCAGGAAAGCAAAGAUCUAAGGCCAUAACCCACAUCCCACAAAGAGUCCACCUUUUCCAAAGUUGGAAGGAAAAAGCUCCCUUACAACGCCUCAUGAUGACCAGACCUCAGUUCCCUCUACUACCUUCAAUUCAUGUCUCAUAUGACUUAUUGUUAUGCUGGAAAUGAGUAAUUUUAAAAAGCAAAAUAUUCUGGGGGAAAAGGAGUGAAAAUUCCAACCUACCUCAUCCCUUAAAUUUCAAAAGGCAAAUAAUCCAUUAACUCAUGACCACACCUCUCCCUGCCCCCCAAAAGCAAUGAGAAUUUAAAUUUAUAUAACAACUUGAAUAUAGGUCUAAAUUAUAAGGGGCAAUCUCUCUUUUCAGAUCCUUGAGCAUUUUAUUUUGUGGCCUUUCCAGUACUUUCUACCAAAAACAAAUCCACAGAGAACAUGAAAGCAUCCCAGCUAUAGAAACUAGUUUUAGUCAAUCGGUGAAGACAAAUUGGAAGGUUUGUCCUGAAAAGCAAUGAUUUUAAGGUUAAGGUUAUACUUUUUAUUCAUAGUCAGCGUAGCCGCAAAGUGUAGAAAGAAAGACAACAAUUGUCUCAGAGUAUAGUGUUCACAUAUCAGGGCCAUUGUAAAAACAGGGUUUUAGUUGAACAGGGUUUCUUAGUAGAGGCCGCCUCUGCCUUACUAAUUGUCCUCCUUGAUGUUUGCUUUCUUUUGUCCUCCUUACCCAUCUACUACAGCUGACAAAACUUACACCAAAGAGACUCCUCACACAAUUUGUUUUUGAGCGACUGCUAUUUGCUUAGCACUGUACUAGCAAUAAUGAAGGGCAGGAAAGGAUCAGAUGUGUUCCCUGCCCUUUUGGAGCUUCUCAUUUGCUUGGGGAGAAAAGACUUAGAAAACUUAGGGUAUUCAUGUCCAUUAAAGAGGUAAGAAGGGCCAACACAGUAUUGCUGAGGGAACGGAGUGAGAAUGGCAGCACAGUUAGAGCGUGAGGAGUGGCACAGGUCACAGGAAUCUUUUCCGGGUCACCCAAGUGGUCUUCAGGUCACGGUGGAGAGAAAACUAGAUGAGGAGAUUGGGAAGUCAGCAACCAGAUGGGGCCUGGCUCAGCUUUGUGCUUUUUUCCCCUGCCUCUUCUGCUCUUGCAGCGUGCACGGGAAACAACUGAAGGGCAAAUCUGGAAUUCAUGGUGUGUGUCUGCGUGUGUAGGGGUGAGUUGGGGAGGAAAAGGCCAAAUACAUUAUCUGAUCAUUCUCUACCUGUGAGGAGGUUAGGGAGCUUCAUUUUCUGGCUGCCUUGCUAUUUGCAUGGAUAUGAUGCCCAAAUGUAAUCUCAGGAAAAUAAACUAACUGGAUUAUGAGCUGAAGAAUCAUGUGGCUUUUUUUCCUGCUAGCAUCUCAGCAGCUGCUCUAGGACAAACAUGGCCCAACAAAACUGCCACCAUCACAGGAUGAAUCUAAAGGACUUAAUUGCCUACCACACACACAGAGGACCGAAUGUUUUAUAGGUGAUCAGAGUCUUAUCAGCUCUGUAGUUGGCAGAAGACUUGAUCUUUGACCACUUGCCUCUUCAUGAUCUUGCCCAAAGUUUAUAUCCGUAAUCAUCUAUAAUGAGCCUAUGCUGUCAGAUUUACCCAGCAUCUGUCCCAGAAGACUGAGGCCCAGGCCAUGGUCAGCACUACUGAUGGGCAGCCUGAAAGAGCCUGGAAGAGCCCUGCAGGUGGACUUGAACUCGACAGACGGAGGAACAUCACUGAACACAUCCCAUUUGUUAGCAGUCUGAGCUUCAUAGGCCCUGGGCUUAUGGCAUUCCUUCAUGGCGGACAUGGCAGAACGAGUUGGACAUGCCAUUUUAGACUGAGCUCUGAAUCUCCAGACUGGAGACUGUGGUCUCGACCAUAUGCCUGCAGGCAACAUGGGCUCACAUCAAACCAUCACGUGGUACCCUCUGUGCUUAGAGCUUCAUAUCCAGGAGCAUGGCAGCAAGGACAACAUUGUGGUCAUUUUGUCCCAUAGUCCUGAACUGUCAACAAGAAUCUCAAGAAGUAAUGAAGUCUGUGGCCCUGCAGUUCUACUCUGAGAUGUACACCCAAGAGAACUGAAAACAUACACACAAAUGUUGACAGCAGUACUAUUCAUAACAGCCAAAAAGUGGAAACAAUCCAAAUGUUCAUCAGCUGAUGAAUGGAUCAACAAAUGUGGUAUGUCCAUAAGCUGGAAUAUUAUUCAGCACAAAAGGGAAUAAGUAUUGAUACAUGGUAUAACAUGGAUGAACCUUGGAAACAUGCUGAGUGGAAGAAGCCAGAAACAAAAGGCCAUGUAUUAUGUGAUUCCAUUCAGAUGAAAUAUCCAGAAUAGGCAAAUCCAUAGAGACUGAAAAUAGAUUUGUGAUUGCAGUGGGUUGGGGGGUUGGAAGAAUGGGGAGUGACUGCUAAUGGGUAUGGGAUUUCUUUUUUGGGUGAUCGAAAUGUUCUGGAAUUAGG